GCGGGGGUACCCGAGUGGCCAAAGGGGCGGGACUCAAGAUCCUGUAGUGUUAGGCUUUCGAGGGUUCGAAUCCCUCCCCCCGCA
Molecule: transfer RNA, 84 nt
Filed under: Candidatus Bathyarchaeota archaeon
Lineage: Archaea; Thermoproteati; Candidatus Bathyarchaeota
Description: tRNA-Leu
Rfam family: tRNA
About the family: Transfer RNA (tRNA) molecules are approximately 80 nucleotides in length. Their secondary structure includes four short double-helical elements and three loops (D, anti-codon, and T loops).
Source: RNAcentral